Non-coding RNA from Paramuricea clavata, 550 nucleotides. NCBI's taxonomy places the organism in Eukaryota, Metazoa, Cnidaria, Anthozoa, Malacalcyonacea, Plexauridae. The record is from the annotation of a GenBank genome assembly.
CGCACACAUGCAAACCAGAGUCAUGGGUACAAAUUCAAUACUGAAAUACAGGUACUGCCUGAUAGCAGGAUAACCAUUACCUGAUAACAGGGUAACUACGGCCUGAUAGCAGGCUAACUAUUGCCUGAUAGCAGGCUAACUACUGCCCAAUAGCAGGCUAACAAUGAAAAUCUGUACCUUAAGUUAGACCUCACUUUAACCAUAGUGCAGCUUCAUUAUCGAGGUACAUCGAUGUCUGUGGGUAACCGUUGAGAUAGAGGUACAUAUGUCUGAACAUGUUCAUGGUAAUAAAUAUCCUUAGUAAUCCAUAAAUGUUUAUUAUAACCAUUAAAGUACAUAAUAUACCAAAAGUAUCCACAACCACCACUAAGCUUCACUGUUAAAAUUUUGGUGAAAUUUCUUCUCAAAAAUAAAGUGAAAUUAUAUUAAAGAUGCCACAUAUGAAAUUAGUUUGGUGCAUUUGGGCGUCCCCAUGGUAGCCCCGGUUUAGAACUCGACCAGCAUCCAUGGCCCCACUUUUGGAUACAACUGUCAUGACCAGCAAGAAUCU